Molecule: ribosomal RNA, 308 nt
Filed under: uncultured bacterium
Lineage: Bacteria
Description: bacterial SSU rRNA
Rfam family: Bacterial small subunit ribosomal RNA
Source: RNAcentral
GAUGAACGCUGGCGGCGUGCCUAAUACAUGCAAGUCGAACGCACAGCGAAAGGUGCUUGCACCUUUCAAGUGAGUGGCGAACGGGUGAGUAACACGUGGAUAACCUACCUCAAGGUUGGGGAUAACAUUUGGAAACAGAUGCUAAUACCGAAUAAAACUUCGUAUCGCAUGAUACAAGGUUAAAAGGCGCUACGGCGUCACCUAGAGAUGGAUCCGCGGUGCAUUAGUUAGUUGGUGGGUAAAGGCUACAGACAAUGAUGCAUAGCCGAGUUGAGAGACUGAUCGGCCACAUUGGGACUGAGACACGG